GAUCCUGGCUUAGGACGAACGCUGGCGGCGUGCUUAACACAUGCAAGUCGAACGAUGACGAUGGUGCUUGCACCGUCUGAUUAGUGGCGAACGGGUGAGUAACACGUGAGUAACCUGCCCUCCUCUUCGGGAUAACCGCCGGAAACGGUGGCUAAUACCGGAUAUGAAUGCCUGCCGCAUGGUGGGUGUUGGAAAGAUUUAUCGGUGGGGGAUGGACUCGCGGCCUAUCAGUUUGUUGGUGAGGUAAUGGCUCACCAAGGCGAUGACGGGUAGCCGGCCUGAGAGGGCGACCGGCCACACUGGGACUGAGACACGGCCCAGACUCCUACGGGAGGCAGCAGUGGGGAAUAUUGCACAAUGGGCGAAAGCCUGAUGCCAGCGACGCCGCGUGGGGGAUGACGGCCUUCGGGUUGUAAACCUCUUUCAGCAGGGAAGAAGCGAGAGUGACGGUACCUGCAGAAGAAGCGCCGGCUAACUACGUGCCAGCCGCUGC
RNAcentral lists this ribosomal RNA (493 nucleotides) under uncultured bacterium. RNAcentral describes it as "bacterial SSU rRNA". It matches the Rfam family "Bacterial small subunit ribosomal RNA", at positions 15 to 518 of the family's 1533-position model. The record is from RNAcentral.